GGCAGCAGUGGGGAAUCUUCGGCAAUGGGCGAAAGCCUGACCGAGCAACGCCGCGUGAAUGAUGAAGGCCUUCGGGUUGUAAAAUUCUGUUAUAAGGGAAGAACGACUUUAGUAGGAAAUGGCUAAAGUGUGACGGUACCUUAUGAGAAAGCCACGGCUAACUACGUGCCAGCAGCCGCGGUAAUACGUAGGUGGCAAGCGUUAUCCGGAAUUAUUGGGCGUAAAGAGCGCGCAGGUGGUUGAUUAAGUCUGAUGUGAAAGCCCACGGCUUAACCGUGGAGGGUCAUUGGAAACUGGUCGACUUGAGUGCACAAGAGGGAAGUGGAAUUCCAUGUGUAGCGGUGAAAUGCGUAGAGAUAUGGAGGAACACCAGUGGCGAAGGCGGCUUCCUGGUCUGUAACUGACACUGAGGCGCGAAAGCGUGGGGAGCAAACAGGAUUAGAUACCCUGGUAGUCCACGCCGUAAACGAUGAGUGCUAAGUGU
Molecule: ribosomal RNA, 484 nt
Filed under: uncultured Bacillota bacterium
Lineage: Bacteria; Bacillati; Bacillota
Description: bacterial SSU rRNA
Rfam family: Bacterial small subunit ribosomal RNA
Source: RNAcentral